This is an RNA transcript of Pistacia vera, 2211 nucleotides long. It is a transcript of the gene named ABC transporter E family member 2, with no coding region annotated. NCBI's taxonomy places the organism in Eukaryota, Viridiplantae, Streptophyta, Magnoliopsida, Sapindales, Anacardiaceae. The record is from RefSeq and is a predicted model, not a curated record. The transcript is spliced from 13 exons.
CCAUAUGUAGAUCCAGCGGAAAAUCAAACCGACUCGGAUCCGAUUUAACUCCAAAACAAAACCCUAAAACAAAGUUAGCGUGAUUCUACCAUCCACACACUCACAGAGAAAGAGAGAGCGUUCCCGGCACACGUCCUCUCUCUUCCAUUACAAAGAAGAAAAAGAAGAAGAAGAAAGUUUAUCUGAAGCGACGAGAUGUCGGACCGGUUGACGCGUAUAGCUAUAGUCAGCUCUGACAGAUGCAAGCCCAAAAAGUGUCGUCAGGAAUGCAAAAAGAGCUGCCCCGUUGUUAAAACCGGGAAUUUGUGUAUUGAGGUUACUUCUGCCUCUAAGAUUGCCUUUAUCUCUGAGGAGUUGUGCAUUGGAUGUGGUAUCUGUGUUAAGAAAUGUCCAUUUGAAGCAAUCCAGAUCAUCAACCUGCCGAAGGAUUUGGAUAGAGAUACAACUCAUCGUUAUGGCCCCAACACUUUUAAAUUACACAGGUUACCAGUUCCAAGGCCUGGGCAAGUGCUUGGUUUGGUUGGAACCAAUGGUAUUGGGAAAUCAACUGCCCUCAAGAUUUUGGCUGGAAAACUGAAACCAAAUUUGGGUCGUUUUAACAAUCCUCCAGAUUGGCAGGAGAUUUUGACCUAUUUUCGGGGAUCUGAGUUGCAGAAUUAUUUUACUCGAAUUUUGGAAGAUAAUUUGAAGGCUAUUAUAAAGCCUCAAUAUGUUGAUCACAUUCCAAAAGCUGUUCAAGGCAAUGUAGGGCAGGUGCUUGACCAAAAAGAUGAGAGAGAUAUGAAGGAGGAACUCUGUGCAGAUCUUCAGCUAAAUCAAGUCAUAGAUCGUAAUGUUGGGGAUUUGUCAGGUGGAGAGCUACAGAGAUUCGCCAUUGCUGUUGUUGCCGUACAAAAUGCAGAGAUCUAUAUGUUUGAUGAACCUUCUAGUUAUCUUGAUGUUAAACAGAGGCUUAAAGCUGCCCAAGUUGUUCGAUCCUUGCUCAGACCUAAUAGCUAUGUUAUUGUCGUAGAGCAUGAUCUUAGUGUCCUGGAUUACCUAUCAGAUUUCAUUUGUUGCUUAUAUGGGAAACCUGGUGCAUAUGGAGUUGUAACCCUUCCCUUCUCUGUCAGAGAAGGAAUAAAUAUUUUCUUGGCUGGAUUUGUCCCUACCGAAAAUCUACGUUUUCGUGAUGAAUCUUUAACCUUCAAGGUUGCUGAGACUCCGCAGGAAAGCGCUGAGGAAAUUGAGACAUAUGCCCGAUACAAAUACCCCACAAUGUCUAAAACUCAGGGAAAUUUUAAGCUUCGUGUGGUCGAGGGUGAAUUUACUGAUUCUCAGAUUAUUGUAAUGUUGGGUGAGAAUGGAACAGGAAAGACAACCUUUAUUCGUAUGCUGGCUGGGUUAUUGAAACCUGAUAACAUAGAAGGUUCUGACGUGGAGAUACCAGAGUUCAAUGUCUCUUACAAACCUCAGAAGAUCAGUCCAAAAUUUCAGAAUACAGUCAGACAUCUGCUGCAUUCAAAAAUACGUGAUUCAUACACUCACCCUCAGUUUGUGUCAGAUGUGAUGAAGCCUCUACUUAUUGAACAAUUGAUGGAUCAAGAAGUUGUGAAUCUCUCUGGUGGAGAAUUGCAAAGGGUUGCAUUAUGCCUGUGCCUUGGAAAGCCUGCAGACAUUUAUCUGAUUGAUGAACCUAGUGCAUAUCUGGAUUCUGAGCAGCGUAUUGUUGCUUCAAAAGUUAUUAAGAGGUUUAUCCUGCAUGCAAAGAAAACUGCAUUUGUGGUUGAGCAUGAUUUUAUAAUGGCCACAUAUCUGGCAGAUAGAGUUAUUGUUUAUGAGGGAAGGCCAUCAGUGGACUGUAUUGCAAAUUCUCCUCAGUCAUUGUUAACUGGAAUGAAUCUUUUCUUAUCUCAUCUGGAUAUCACAUUUAGGCGGGAUCCAACAAAUUUCAGACCAAGAAUCAACAAAUUGGAUUCCACCAAGGAUAGGGAUCAAAAAUCUGCUGGGUCAUAUUAUUACCUGGAUGAUUAAAAUAGUAUCAACAGGUUCUUGUACUUGGUUGUCUGCCUUACUUGAUUGUACUUUGAUGAAUGAGGCACUGUGAGAUCAACUGUUGUCAGUGGUGGAAAAGUUAAAAAGCAUCAAUGUCAGCUUCAUAUUGGAUCUCUGCUGAAGUGGGAUCAGGAUGUGAUACAUUGCGUUGAAGGUCCUUUGCCUGUGAAAGAUCAA